UGGGGAAUUUUGGACAAUGGGCGCAAGCCUGAUCCAGCCAUGCCGCGUGCAGGAUGAAGGCCCUCGGGUUGUAAACUGCUUUUGUACGGAACGAAAAGCCUCUUUCUAAUAAAGAGGGGUGAUGACGGUACCGUAAGAAUAAGCACCGGCUAACUACGUGCCAGCAGCCGCGGUAAUACGUAGGGUGCGAGCGUUAAUCGGAAUUAAUGGGCGUAAAGCGUGCGCAGGCGGUCUUGCAAGACAGUGGUGAAAUCCCCGGGCUCAACCUGGGAACUGCCAUUGUGACUGCAAGGCUGGAGUACGGCAGAGGGGGAUGGAAUUCCGCGUGUAGCAGUGAAAUGCGUAGAUAUGCGGAGGAACACCGAUGGCGAAGGCAGUCCCCUGGGCCUGUACUGACGCUCAUGCACGAAAGCGUGGGGAGCAAACA
This 427-nucleotide ribosomal RNA is filed under the name uncultured bacterium. Its description in RNAcentral is "bacterial SSU rRNA". It matches the Rfam family "Bacterial small subunit ribosomal RNA", at positions 355 to 774 of the family's 1533-position model. The record is from RNAcentral.